GUUUCUAUACAAACUUGAGAUUUUUAUCCGUCGACAACGAGGAGUUUCCAGUAUUUUCCAUGUGAUGACUACGUUGUUUAGUCCAUAGUCUUAUCAAAAAUUUUAUUCAACAAAGAUAAUUAAUUAAAAGGGAAAAUCGGGCCGAUGGAUGGAUCUUCCGCCGCUCUGCCCGCCUCCUCCCAUCCCGGUUUUUGUACACCCGCCGGCGAGGAUGGCCGAAUCUCCGGCCUGCCGGCGGCCACCCAAGGGAUGUCACCGGCGAUCUUCCCCUCCGGAACCCACCCGCCGGUCAAAUAAAAAAAAGGAGGGAGCCGCCGGAUCCAGUUCGCCGGCGGUUACCCUCUCAAGCACCGGCAUAAAGAGUGGCCGGAGAAAGAGAUUAGGCGGCGGCCGGCCGAUCAGGACUUUUCCGGCGGCCGCCGACCGGGGUUUUCUUUUGGGACGGACGGCAUGAAGUUGGAACCGCCGUAUCUAACAAACUGAUGGUUCCCUCUCCCUAAUCGGAGGCACAAAGGGGUUGGAGACAUUGGAGACGGCGGCGGUCCGCCGGCCGAAUAUUUGGAGGGGAGGAGCGCCGGUUUUGGGCUCCUCCUUCUCCAUCGAUCAUCCAUCCAACCUAACCAUCGCCGGCUCACCGGCGGUCGGGACGGCUGUCUCAGGACGGCCUCCGGUGGUUGAGGACAGGCGGUGUUUAGAGAAGCCUUACGCCGCGCCCAUGGGGUUU
This 724-nucleotide long non-coding RNA is filed under the name Elaeis guineensis (African oil palm). Its description in RNAcentral is "long non-coding RNA (EGUI_LNC028017)". Lineage: Eukaryota; Viridiplantae; Streptophyta; Magnoliopsida; Arecales; Arecaceae. The record is from RNAcentral.